This 21-nucleotide small nuclear RNA is filed under the name Arabidopsis thaliana (thale cress). Its description in RNAcentral is "snRNA_05202". Lineage: Eukaryota; Viridiplantae; Streptophyta; Magnoliopsida; Brassicales; Brassicaceae. The record is from RNAcentral.
GAUUCAGCCCUUUGUCGCUAA